GAGUUUGACUCCGUGGCUCAGGACACGCUGGCGGCGUGCUUAACACAUGCAAGUCGAACGCUGAAGCCCUUCGGGGUGGAUGAGUGGCGAACGGGUGAGUAACACGUGGGUAAUCUGCCCUGCACUCUGGGAUAAGCCUUGGAAACGGGGUCUAAUACCGGAUAGGACACGUGGCCGCAUGGUCUGCGUGUGGAAAGUUCCGGCGGUGCAGGUUGAGCCCGCGGCCUAUCAGCUUGUUGGUGGGGUGAUGGCCUACCAAGGCGACGACGGGUAGCCGGCCUGAGAGGGUGACCGGCCACACUGGGACUGAGACACGGCCCAGACUCCUACGGGAGGCAGCAGUGGGGAAUCUUGCGCAAUGGGCGAAAGCCUGACGCAGCAACGCCGCGUGGGGGAUGACGGCCUUCGGGUUGUAAACCUCUUUCGACAUCGACGAAGCCUUCGGGUGACGGUAGGUGUAGAAGAAGCACCGGCUAACUACGCG
This 484-nucleotide ribosomal RNA is filed under the name uncultured Saccharopolyspora sp. RNAcentral's name for it is "bacterial SSU rRNA". It matches the Rfam family "Bacterial small subunit ribosomal RNA", at positions 9 to 507 of the family's 1533-position model. Lineage: Bacteria; Bacillati; Actinomycetota; Actinomycetes; Pseudonocardiales; Pseudonocardiaceae. The record is from RNAcentral.